Molecule: long non-coding RNA, 2973 nt
Filed under: Heterocephalus glaber (naked mole-rat)
Lineage: Eukaryota; Metazoa; Chordata; Mammalia; Rodentia; Bathyergidae
Description: lncRNA (ENSHGLG00000049184.1)
Source: RNAcentral
GUAUGCGGUUUCUACUGAACACAGAUGGCUUUUACACCAUCCUAAAGUUGAAAAAGCUGAAGUGGCAUCAUCCUAAAUCAAGGCCCAUCCGUUCUCUAGAAUGGGGUUUGCCUCUACUCUUCUCAGACCCUGUAAGGGCAGCCCAAGUCGAGCUCGGUCUCCCAGCUCCUCUGUCCCUGCCACUUCCUCCUUUCCUGGGUCAAGGCCUUGAUCCUCCUCCACCACUAUUUCAAUUUACCCGCUCCAGUCAACUGCCACUUUUCCCUUUUCCUUCCUUUAUCCCAAACCCACCACUGAUGCAUUUCUUUCCCAAUCAACUCUAGACUCCAUUGCCCUGCAUGUGAUGCCCUCCGAAUGUAAAUUUACUGGACUUUCCCCUGUAUUUUUCACCUACCUGAGUAGGAGCUCCCAGAUCUGGGGCAGUGGCUUUUCCCACUGCCCAAAGCACUCGGCCUUUUUCCCGAAGCUGGCCAACCUUUGGCCACCAUCACUGUAACCCACCUGCAGGACAAGACUCAACAGAAAGAGUGGCUCAGCUAGCUCAGUGGUCCCCAGAUAGCUUUUUGCUUAUUGGUAAAAGAAUUUUGGAGAAUUCUGUGUCCUCUUGUGCAUUUAAAGAUGAGAGCAAAAACUUUUCUUCCUAAGGUUAUUAUUAUUUUUUGAGACAGAGUCUCACUAUGCAGUUCACAGUGGCCUUAAACUCACUAUGUAGCUGAGGGUGGCCUCGAACUCGUGGCAUUCCUCCUGCCUCAGCCUCCCAAGUGCUAGGAUUAUUACAAGCAUGCACCACCACACCGACAUUCUUCCUCAGGUUAAAUAGAUGUAGUCUCUGGAAGCAUUGUGUACAGACUGACAUUUGAGGCAGGCAGCUUCCCAGAUGGACUAACUCACCACCUUUGGAAUCCCCCUCCGUUCCGGGUAGGCCGGACCUAGUGACAGUGAAUAGAAAAAGGCAAAACUGAUGAGCUGUCACUUAACACUCUCCAUUAUAGAAAGACCAAGACUGCUGUGCCGCUUAGCCUCUCUCGGGGAGAGAGGCCACACUGAGCCACCCUGUGGAGCAGCUCACCCUGCAGGAACUGGGAAGGGCCCCUGUCAAGGCCAGUGAGGAGUUGAGACCCUUGUUUCAGCUGUCCUUGAAUUCCAGGGGUCAAGAGAUCCUCCUGCCUCAGCCUUCUCAGUAGUUGGAACUACAAAUGUGAGGCAUGGUGCACAGCUGGAUAAGUGACUAAGAAACAAACAUAAACUGGUGGUGGAACAACUGAGCUAAAUCUCCAGCCUGAAUGGAUUUUUUUCUUCAUUCAUUCAUGCAUCCCUGGAUAAAUAUUACUUAUAGGAUGAGGGUAUUUUUCCCAGGCUGGUGAGAAGCCUACUUUUCUUCUGAAAGUGGAAGAAACACAAGAAUGAAAACAGGGCUGGGAAGGAAGCACAUCUACCCACACCUUGAUGGCUGACACCUUCCUAGGCAGGAUUGAACUCAGGACUUCAUGCUUGUCAGGCAGGCGCUGUGCCAGUCUCUGAGCUACAUCCCUGGCCCCAGGUCCCUGACUACCCUAAGGUGAUCAGCUUUGUUCACCACAUGCUCCUGCCAUGAUGUGCUGCCUUGCCACAAGUUUAAAAGCAAUGACCAUGGACUGAAAUGUCUGAAACCAUGAGCCAUGAAAAGAAAUCUUUCCUCCUUCUAAGUUGUUUGUCUCAGGUAUUUUGUCACAGUAGCUCAAAGCUCACUAAGACAAGAUUUGUGUAGGCAUGUCCCUCGCAAAGCCUUUGUGGAAGCUCAGGGUAAUGUGUACUCUUGUUUAAAAUUGUCAUCCUGGCCAUCAACUCUGGCUGCAGGUUAGAAUUACCUGGGUGCUUAUAGACUACCAAUACCCACCCCACUGGUCCAUUCUAGUUCAGCUGGUCAAAAGAGGUAUCUGGGCAUAAGUAUUUUUUACAUGUUUCCUAGGUGAUUCUAAUGCAUACCCUGAUUUUGGAGCAAUAUUCUGUUGCCAUAGGCUCCACACAGCUCAUGGACACAAUGCUGCUUUGUGCUGUGUUUGUAAUACUUCAUCUAGUCAGAGGCAUCAUCCCUGUGAGGUGAAGUCCAAUUGUAGAUUUUUUUAAAAUGUAGAAAAUAGGUGUCUUUGAUUGGAUGAAAUAUAGUCUUGCUUGCCUGUAAGACUAAUCGUCCCUGAUAGCAACAGUCCUGGCUUCCCUAGCUCUGUGUUCUUCUCAGCCUUCAGUGUUUAGCUGGUGGGCGGGGUUCCCCGAGCACUUGCUGAGUGUGCGCCGGCAUCAGGCUGCUCCAUUACUGCCCGUUCUCUGGACUCUUUUCUCCUCUCUGGUUGGACAGAACCUCAUCCUGAGGAGAAAGUAGAUAGUCAAAAAAUUUUUUUGUGGAUUAAUUGACUGAUUAUGAAAGAAGCUAUAGCCCAGUAUCAAGGAAUCAGAGUCAAGUAGAAACUGGAGAACUUGGUGGUGUCGUUGGCUAUGGAUAGAGGGAAAUGGCCACUGAGCCCAUUCCUGGGCUAUGAGAGGUGACAGAACAUCCUUCACCAACAGAAAGAUGGACUCAAGAAAUCAUCCCUGAUGAUGAAGUUUGUCUCUCCGUUACCUGAAGUGGUGGUUUGUCUACUUGGCUUCUUCCCCCGUGUCCUUUGUGUGUAUAAUUUCAAGGAAGGAGAGACUGGGAGUCAUUUUCCCCAAUAUCCCCAGUGCCUGGAGUAGUUCCUGUCUCAUAACAUAUGAGCAAUAAAUAUGGCUUUUCUUUUCUUUUUUUCCAAUACCGGCAAUCAAACUCAGGACCUUGUGCUUGCUAGGCAGAUGUGGCGCCACUGAGCUCCUUAAAUGUGGGUUUUGUUUUCAGGCAGGGUCUUACUCUGUAGUCCAGGCUGGCCUUGGAUUCACUAUGUAACCCAGACUGGCCUCAACCUCACGGUGAUCCUCCUGUUUCAGCCUUCUGAGUGCUGGGAUUACAGGCCACUAUGCCCA